Molecule: ribosomal RNA, 492 nt
Filed under: uncultured bacterium
Lineage: Bacteria
Description: partial 16S ribosomal RNA
Rfam family: Bacterial small subunit ribosomal RNA
Source: RNAcentral
AGUGAACGCUGGCGGUAGGCCUAACACAUGCAAGUCGAACGGCAGCACAGUAAGAGCUUGCUCUUACGGGUGGCGAGUGGCGGACGGGUGAGGAAUACAUCGGAAUCUACUUUUUCGUGGGGGAUAACGUAGGGAAACUUACGCUAAUACCGCAUACGACCUACGGGUGAAAGCAGGGGAUCUUCGGACCUUGCGCGAUUGAAUGAGCCGAUGUCGGAUUAGCUAGUUGGCGGGGUAAAGGCCCACCAAGGCGACGAUCCGUAGCUGGUCUGAGAGGAUGAUCAGCCACACUGGAACUGAGGAACGGUCCAGACUCCUACGGGAGGCAGCAGUGGGGAAUAUUGGGCAAUGGGGGCAAGCCUGAUCCAGCCAUACCGCGGGGGGGAAGAAGGCCUUCGGGUUGUAAAGCCCUUUUGUUGGGAAAGAAAAGCAGCAGGUUAAUACCCCGCUGUUCUGACGGUACCCAAAGAAUAAGCACCGGCUAACUUCGUG